UUGAAUAACUGUGUAUUCCUCUGGAUCUA
Molecule: non-coding RNA, 29 nt
Filed under: Rattus norvegicus (Norway rat)
Lineage: Eukaryota; Metazoa; Chordata; Mammalia; Rodentia; Muridae
Source: RNAcentral